GGACACAAUUGCUCUGUUGGAGGAGACUAAGUCUCAGUGGACUUUAUGGCACUGGUGUGGAGAUUAUUUUCUCCACACCGUUUACUACCUGAGUUUCUUUGCCAGUGACCUUAUUUCUUGAGGACAAAAAAGAGUGAGCCCUUACUUUCAACCCAAGCAAUUGGCGUUUGGCUUAUAACUAGAGACCUCAGAUGAUUAGCAGACAGACAGGUUUUUAUGGAUUAGUCUGGCCUCCAUCUUUGUAGCUCAGGAUAACUUUGAAGAUUCCUAACCACCUGCCUCCCUGCCCUGACUGUGUGGCCAUCACCCCUGGAUUAUAUGCUGCUGAGAAUCAAACCCAGGACCAUGUGCAUGCUAUACGAGUCCUCUACUAAUUGAACACAACCUUACUACCCUCACGUUUUGACCUCACCAUUAUGUUGGGCUGUUAAAAAACAGUCUCACAGCUUGAGAGACGGCUCAGCAGCUAAGAGUAUGUUUUGUUCUUACAGAGGACAAGGUGGAGUUCAGUGCCCAUCUAGAAUCUUCCAACUGCUUUUAUUUGAUGUUUAUGUGCCUAAGCACAUGCCUGCCAUACCACUGACUGACACAUGUACCAUCUAGUUUAUGAAGACUUUGCCCAUAUAUUUAAAAUAUUAAAGUAUAAUAGUUUGCACAUGUAUGAUGUCGAUGAAGUCAAAUAAAUUCCUCUUUAGAUCUCA
This is a long non-coding RNA of Grammomys surdaster, 701 nucleotides long. RefSeq lists it as uncharacterized. NCBI's taxonomy places the organism in Eukaryota, Metazoa, Chordata, Mammalia, Rodentia, Muridae. The transcript is spliced from 3 exons. The record is from RefSeq and is a predicted model, not a curated record.